UGGCGCAGUUAAGAAACAAUCUUAAGAUUGGUCAAACGGGUCGCUCGGAUUUUCCGAAGAAAAUCCACACAUAAAAGAAAAGAAAAAACAAAAUCAAUUUUAAAAAUAAAAAUAUGGCGUUUCCGAGGCCUUAAAACAGUUUUUAUAAAAAAAAAGAAGAAAAUUCGAACAUCACCAUGGCAACUAUUAACAGCUCCGAGCUCCUGAAGGAAGCUUCGAGAACAAGGCCAUUCAACGGAAGUGAUGGUUACGACCUAUCCUCAUUUAUAAGAAAAGUGGAUGCCAUACUCCGCCUCUUUAACGAAAACCCAUCGUUAAAGGAAUUUGUUAUUCAACGCUACGUACUAACGAAAAUAAAUGGAGACGUCCUGAAGGUAGUCCGACCUUUAGGAAGCACACCGAUGUGGGACGACGUAAAGGAGGAACUCAUCCGGAACUUCGGGGUAAACAAGAGCUACAGGAGUCUGUACCACCAGGCGAUCAACGUUAAGCACUACAAUGUCCGUCCCUCCGGGUGUUGAAAGUAUGUGUUUUAAUGCUGGUUAUCGUUCUAAUGGUGCUCUGCUAUCGGGGUUAUUGAAUCGUUUUUAUUUCCGUAAAUAUUACUGUAAUGUCACAAACACUGAAUGUAUGUUAAAUACUGUAUAGAAAAACUGUUUGAAUACAGACUUCACUGCUUAAGAUAUCUAGCGAAACUAAAAGUUUGGAAACAGUGUACUCGUAUUUAUACAGUAUAUACAACAUACGUUUUCUGUAUUAGUAUAAGGCAGAUAUCUAUCUAUCUUCUAUAUAUCUUCUAUCUUCUAUAUAAAUAAAAAUGAAUUGUUGUUCGUUAGUCUGAUUAAAACUCGAGAACGGUUGGGCCGAUUGAGCUGACUUUGGUUUUAAAAUGUUUGUCGUAGUCCAGGGUAGGUCUAAACGGUGAGCAAAUAAGGAGGAGAAUUACGAGUAAGAUAGAGUAAAACGACAAUUCCAUUUUCCCAUAUAAAAGUUGACCACUUACUUGCUGUCAAACAUUUGAUGGUAUCUGUACUCUCAGUUCCACUCGAAUUGAAGAACGCAUUAAAACAAGACUUUUGAAUCGACAACAUAAUAUCAACUUUGCUCAUAACAUCGUGUAUUUAAAUUUCAAUUUCAAAUUUCAAAAUAUAUAAAUAUAAUUAAUGUGUUGACAUGUUUGAUGGUGCCAAUCUUACAGUGUUACCAACUCUCAAAAAUACUUUUAUUAUAAUAACGGGGCAUCUCUGCCUGUGCAGACUCCACAUUGCUCAUUGCUUACUAGAUAUAGAAUACUACAUAGUUUGCCAUAUAUCGUAAGCUAGAAGCUGUCUCUUCAGCAGUUUAACAGCGCAGUUUUCAUUUAUAUGAAACUUUCGAAGAGGCAACAUAUCCCAUUUCCACAUAUGCCGACGGCAUUUUAAUUUUGGUAAUAUGAAAAUUAGAAGAGCGAGUUAAGACGGUUGUGUUAUAUUAUAAAAAUAAAGUACAUUUUCAAAUAACA
Long non-coding RNA from Bactrocera neohumeralis, 1501 nucleotides. RefSeq lists it as uncharacterized. NCBI's taxonomy places the organism in Eukaryota, Metazoa, Arthropoda, Insecta, Diptera, Tephritidae. The record is from RefSeq and is a predicted model, not a curated record. The transcript has 2 exons.